This 441-nucleotide ribosomal RNA is filed under the name Drosophila limensis. RNAcentral's name for it is "partial 12S ribosomal RNA". Lineage: Eukaryota; Metazoa; Arthropoda; Insecta; Diptera; Drosophilidae. The record is from RNAcentral.
UAUUAUUUAAAAUGUAAAGUUUAAUAUUAAAGUAGUAAUAGUUAUGUUCUUGAAACUUAAAAAAUUUGGCGGUAUUUUAGUCUAUCCAGAGGAACCUGUUUUGUAAUCGAUAAUCCACGAUGGACCUUACUUAAAUUUGUAAUCAGUUUAUAUACCGUCGUUAUCAGAAUAUUUUAUAAGAAUAAUAAUAUUCAAUAAUUUUUAUUAAAAUUUAUAUCAGAUCAAGGUGUAGCUUAUAUUUAUGUAAUAAUGGGUUACAAUAAAUUUAUUUAAACGAAUAAAAUUAUGAAAAAAUUUUUGAAGGUGGAUUUGGUUGUAAAAUUAUAAAGAUUAAUAAUUUGAUUUUAGCUCUAAAAUAUGUACACAUCGCCCGUCGCUCUUAUUAUUAAGGUAAGAUAAGUCGUAACAUAGUAGAUGUACUGGAAAGUGUAUCUAGAAUGA